AGUAGGUUUAGCCUAAAACAAAUAAAAAAGAAAGAAAAGGCCCAGGUUCUAUUUUUGUUACGUGAUCAGAAAAUGAUUUUGCAAUUUAGCACCUGAUCUUCUGAAUAUUUUUAGUGUAGCCCUAAAAUUUGAUUUUUGUACUUAGGUCGUAAUUUAAUUGCAUUUUGUUCCCUAAACUUUAUUUUUUUCUUGAUUUUGAUCCUAAUUUCUUUAAAAAUUAUAAUUUGACCCUAAAAACUUUUUAUUUUUUGCAAUUGAGUCUCUAAUGGUUUUGUUUUCUUAAUUACAAUUGUUUAUCUUCUUUAAAUUGUUAAUCAUGCUUCAUUUAAAUGCAUCUAAUUUAUAAAUUUUAGAGAUUUUAUACUUAUGCAUAUUUCUUUAAAAUAAUAAAGUGAAUUUGCUAUAUGUUUACAUUUUUCUUUUAAAUCGUUAAUUAAAUUGGUGCCUUGACCAUUUUGUUGAUUUUGGAGUAUAAAUAGAGCAAACUCUACUUCAUUUAGCCACUAUUUCACGGGAGGUACCCUCUGUUAUUCUUUAAACUCCCUUUAUGCUCCUAUGUGUUUCCUAUGUGUUUUUAUGUUUGUGAUUGCAUGCUUUAUGUGCUUUUUCUUUUAUUUACUUAUUUUAUUCAUUUUAAGGUUUCAUUUAUUUUAUUUAACUUUGAUAUUUGUUUGGAAGGCAUUUAAAUGCCAAAUUGUAAUAGAUAGGUUAUAUUCUCUUGUGCAAGAAAUGUAAUUAAUUAGAUAAAUGUAGUAGAUAAGUUUAUUAUUAUCUUAUAUUCCCUUUUUUAGAUUGUAAUUAGAACUCUCAAUGUAAUAGUUAGGUUUAUUGCUUGCAUAUUUGUGUGUUUAUGUGCUUGCAUGUUUACUUGCUUUUUUCUAAGAUUUUGCAUCUAGAUAUCGUGCCUAUGUGCUCUAUAUGUUUAUUUGCUUUAAUUAUAUUCUAUAUGUUUUAUUUAUUUAUGAUGAAUGUAUGAUGUCACCACACUAGUUCAACGCUAGUUGUGGUUUUUUCUCCCCGAUUUUCACUAGUCCAACGCUAGUGAAAACUUGUAGAAAUGGGUUAGUCCAAUGCUAGACCCUUUAAGCCAUCGAUACGCUAGAUUCAUAAUUUGGUAUGACAUUUAUUACAUCUCAUGCAUUUUUUUCCUAUUUUUAGGUUAUUUUCAUUUGCAUGAUAUUUUCCUACUAUUAUUCCCUUACCAUCUAUAUGUUUGAACUAUAUCAUUUAAAAUUACAUCUUAUUUUAGGAAAUUAGAAGCAAGUUAGUUCAUUUGCUUGACUAGAUUAGAAGAGUUGCCUUUCAAAUAUGGGAAAUGAGUGAGUAUGAUUUUUUAACCUUAGCAUGAUAUUACCCAUUUAUAAGAAGGAAUAUUGUGUCACGAAUCUUAGUUUCCCGUCCCCAUUAUAUUGCAUUCCCCUCUUCUAGGUCAUGUAUAUAUCAUAAUUUCCUUUUGGAGUAUCAUCUUUUAUAUAUUCGUGACCUCUUCGAGAAAUCAUUCUUGAGCUUCACAAUUAAUGUGAUUUGUACCAAUUAAAUUUCAAAGAGAUAUCUCGUCCCUCUCGAUACCCCCUAGAUCCAGGUUUGUAUCCAUAUAGAAACAUCCAAAUAUGAUAAGUUUUAUAGGUUGGAUUAGGAAAAUGUUUGACUAAAUCUUGCAACUAGCAUUGGCUAGGUUGAAAGGGUGCCUUAUAUCAAAUCUUUUUCUUCCCUUUUUCCAACCCUAACUUCCGAACUCAUUUUCUCUCGUUUUUAAAAACCUGGAGUCGUUUAAAAGGAUUUUAUUUAUUCUUUUCAUUUAAAAUAUAUUUUGGGUGAUUUGGUAUACUUAAAUUCAAUACCAAGUGGCGACUCUAUUUUUUUUUCUAAAAAUCCUUUUUAGAUUAUUGGGUCCAAACCGUCGCAUUUUCUAUGUCCCAUUUUAGAUCCUUUUUUCUUUAUUUUCUAAAAUCAAAAACUCAUUUUUCUAAUACCCUUUUCUAUUUUAUUUUUCUCUUUUAUUUUCAAAAAUGAGGUGCGACAAAUAGGAGGUAAAUAGGUUGCAAAAUUGGAUAAGAGAUUGCGCAAUUUAACAGAAUCAAGGUAGGGUAAAGAGAUAAAAAAAAAGGUAGGGUAAAGAGAAGGUAAAGUUUGUGAGAGGGAGAAGAGUUGGAGGGAUGUGGGAAGUUGGGUUAGGAAGGUAAGGACGAGAGUAACGAGGAAUAGGGGAAUAUUGAGGGGGAGUAACGCAAAAAGAGAAAACAUGGAAAGAAGGGGUAACAAAAUUGUAUUUGGUAUACUUUUAGUAUUUCUUUAGGUAUUUUUAUGAUCUUUGCUCAUAUUUUUUUAAUAUACUUUAAGGUUUUAAAUAAGAUACAUAAAUACAAUAUAAAUUAGAUACUAAAAUAGUGCUCUUUUAAUUUUUUAACCUUUUUUUCAUGUAACAAAUAAAAAUAAUUUAUUUAUUAUUAUUAUUAUAUUAAACGUAAAUCCGUGCAUAGCAGGUGUUACAAUACUAGUUAAGUAUUAACCCUUAGAUUACAAAUGACUUUGAUUUGAAGGUCGAAACUUUAUUGCCUUUCAUUCUUCACAAAAUGAGAAAUGGGUGGCUGUUGGCCUAAUAUGGGAUCAAAAGGAUUUUGAGAAUUGCUUUAUAUAAGUUCAACAUACAGAGAGUUGCCUCUAACUUUUUUUUUUUUAGACAGAAAGAUCUUUAAAUUUGGCUGACUAUGUUCAUUGGACGGAAUGUGGUGGAUUUGUUUGGGAAAAAUAAUACUAAAUUUCACUAUUCGGCCUUGUCCCCAAUUUUGAUUAAUUUCCACUCCCCUGGUUCUUGGGCACCAUGUUCAUUUACUUGUUGAUUGAAUGUUGAUUCAAGAGUUUGUGUGGUUAAUUUCUUGAAACCAAGAGAAUGGUGCAUAAUAAACCAAAAAAAUAGAAUAAUUUAUAUCUAUACCUCACUGAUGAUUACUGUUCAAAUACCUCCCCCUCAAUAUGAGUAAUAAAUAGACCUACUUCCCUAAGCCUCUAAGCCAUGACACCAAAUCCCAAUCCCAGGCCAUAAGCAUCCAAAUCCCAGGCCAUAACACCCUCUUCUAAGUGGCUACUAGAAUGGAAAAAAAUCAGGCUGUAGGUUGGGGCUGGCUGGCUGCUCCUGUCAAUGCUCCACUGCCAGAUAGUGGAUGUAUACUAUCUCUACAUUGACUGCGGUGUACUAUAUCCAUUAAUACGUGCCUUCUGCCAUCUCCAGGCUACCCGCAAACUCUCCUGAAGAUCGGUAUAUUUUGUAGUCAGAAAUAGCCAAAAACAAUGUUAACCAAACUAAUAAAAUGUAGCUUGAGUCGUGCUUAAUAACACUGUUCUAAAAAAUUAUUUCGUGAGGUUGAAAUGUUUCUCCAGGAUUAAACAAGCCUUUUUCUUGUUUAUAACAAGAAGGAUCAAAACUUCAGCAACCAUCAAUUAAAUCCAGCAGAAAGGGAAAGAAGGAGAAGAAGAGAAGUAGAGCAAGAAAGCUGGCAGGAAGGUCUCUAUUGUCACUGUCAGCUGUUGGUAUAUCUCUAAAGUGGAAGCACAGCUGCUAUUUAUAGGCAGCAGCUAGUGUCCGUUGGUGAGAAAUAAUAUCUGAUAACAUAAAAAAGACAUGGCUAAUUUUCUAUGAAACUGAAAGUAAUGUUUAAUUUAUUCUGUGUAACCGAAAGUAACGUUAAAAGGAACGUUAUGAAACAUACCAAAACUUCGUAACUGAUGAAAUAAAAGUUUAUCUUCUCAGGAAAGAGUCAAAUUUUGAUUUGUAAAAUAUGAAGUAAAAUUUAUUCUUGGUCACAGGAAAACUCACUUUGGCCGCGCUUAACCCACGCGCGAGAGGGAAAUCCAUCAGUUUGUACUGAAACGGCCCAACUCAACUUUCCUCUCAUGCGCGCGAGCCCACACUAGUUACUAACUUAACACAAGCCAAUAAGAGACUACGCAUUAUAAAUGAUGAGAAGUCCUUUUAGUUUUUUGAUGUGGGACAAGAUCUUUUGAAAUUUCUCUUUUAUUUACAACAUAUUUUGCUGUCCAGUUUAGUUCUUUCCUAAGUUUAGUUGGAUCACUGUAAACUUCAGCAUAAUCACCAGGCCGACGGGGAAGGUUGUCGACCUUGAGAGGUACUCCUGUGGCCUUCUUGCAGGCCUCCACAAACUCCUUUACAGAUCAACCUGAAAUAGAAAAAUAUGAUUCGCAUAAGAAACGGCUAAUAUGGCCAACUAAGUUACAGGUUAUAACAAGAAAUGUCUUACCUCUCCCUAUUCCAACUUUCCCAGGCUCUGCCUUCUCAAGGGCUUUGACAUGAGCAUCAACAAGAUCAGUGACAUCAAUAUAAUCCCGGAUACAAGUUCCAUCUUCAGUCUUGUUGUCUGUUCCUCUCACAUAUAGCACGUAGUAAUUUAACCAAAAUGAACCCACGAAAAGACACAAUAAGGGUACCAACGAGUCAAGUCAUGUUCAAAUACUAAUAUAUUUGAGCUUGAGCUUGAAGAUAUUUAACCUAACUCAAACUUGAAGUUGACAAAUGUUUAUUUGGGAAAGGGUGCCAACAUUGAUGCUCUUAUAUAAGGGCCGUCUAGACUUUAUAUUAAAAAAAAAAUAUUACACUAUCCCCACAUUUGGUACAUUUGGUACAUAGUAAUGGCCUAAAAAGGAAAGGGGUUUCUAAUUUGUCCAUUAUAUUCCAAGUUUGAUAUAGAUCAUUUAAGUGAAAAAGUUCUUUUCCUCUAAACUACUGUUUUUUUUAGUAGAAUCCCCAAAAUUCAAAAAAUAUCUUGGAAAAACUCUUUCCAACUUUAUUACAAAAUAUCCAAAACAGUAGGAUGUCAAAUUUAUUCUUAUAAAUCUUUUUUUCUACCUCAUCAUAUCGUAGGAUAUUUGUGAGCUCAAUUAGUAAUUGAAUGUAUUUUUUAUAAUAAAUUAUUUUUCUUGUGUUAAAAUAAAAUUUUCUUUCUUACUAGCAAACAUAUGUUUUAAAAUACUUUAUUCUUUGACUUUGAAUAAUUGUGUGAAAUUUUUUUUUUGAAUUUCAUAUAAAAAAUAAGAGCAUUAUAAAAAAUUAAAAUUUUAUCAUAUUUGUUUUGAUUCAUGUAAUUUACAUUGCUAAUUAUAUAUCUUGCGGAUGCAAAACUAUAACAUAAAAAUCUAUAGGCCACAAUGAAUCAAAUAUUACAAUUGAAAAAUUUGAGUACCAAUCCUCAAUUAUUCUAAAAGCAAAAAAUGACUAAAUUUCACAUAAAUAAACCAGUAACAUAGUAGAACAAAUAAAGCAAAAGUAAUAAAAAUGGUAUGUUCUAUAAAUAAAUCCAGAAUAAUUAACUCAAGUUUGUAUUAAUUGUAUUUUAUUCUGGCAUCUAAAUCUUGAUUAUAUCAAACACGGAAAAAUGAAAGAACAAUCUACUCUGUUAGUAUACUAGACAUUGAAAUAAAUAAAAACAAUAAUCUUCCUACCAUUUUUAGAUAUCGUAACCAAAACCUAUUUAUUAUAUCAAACACCGGAAUCAGAAGGUUCAAUGGACAAUCUAGGAAUAUUAUUUUAAGACUUGACAGUCAACUUCAUUGACUAACGUCAAUGAACCAAGGUCAAGUAUACAUUCCUCUGUAAAUAGGAUUGACUUUUCCUUAACCUCGAGUGCAGCAACCCCGUUUUCGAAACUUUCCUAAUAUCUUUCCUAACCGUUUCUUUUGUGGAUUCUCUCUUAGGAAAAUCUGUCCCUAUAUAUUACCUCUUUCUCGAUUCAAGAAUUUAACUUACCUAGCCCAUUCGCCUCUUUUAACAGAAGACAAGAAAAUAUACAGAGUGAUAGAUAAAUGGCUGACAACAUUCCUAUAGGGUUUCGUUUUAGACCCAGUGAGGAAGAACUGAUCUCCCUACUUUGGCUGAAGGUUACAAACCAGCUUGAUGAAACGGACCAUGUGAAGGAGAAAAUACUUUACGGCGAAGGUGCAGAACCGUGGGAUGUUUUGGGGGAUGAUGAUGUUCGUUGGCAAUUCUGUGAUAAUAGCGGAAAAGGGGCUAGUACGAAAAGAAUGGUCUAUGUCUUUACCAAGUUGAGGAAAUUGAGCGCCAAGAAAACUGCGAGAACGGCUGGUUUGGGGACGUGGGACGGAGAAACGAAGUCGUACCCAGUUGAGGGUAUGAUUACUGGUGAGAAAAUUGGGUCAAGGAAGAUGCUAAGUUAUGUUCUGAAUUCUGGUUCAAUAGGGGUGAAAGGUGGCUGGAUAAUGCACGAGUAUUCGCUGGAUGGUGCAUCAUUGAAUGGGUUAAACAGCAGUCAUAAUACUGAUUAUGUUCUUUGUAGGAUAAUAAAGGAUGAUUCAAAGUAUACCAAAGUCAAAGAAUCUGCAACGAAAGGAAAGGUUGCCAAAGAAAAGGAGGUUGGAAAUCGUGGAUGCCGUGAAGUUGUCCUGGGCAAGAGAAAGAUGAAUCUUGAAUAAGAAAGUUCACAAGCGAGUAAGCAGUCAUGUAACAAUCCAAUGGAUGAGUUGCCUAAUUUGGUUAAUUGUGAGUAUGAUGGAUACACAAGAAGCCUACAAACAUAUACAGGUUUGUUGGAUGAUGUUGUGCAGCCAAUCAUCUGUUGGAAUGGCGACCCUUACUUGGGAUCAGUUCCUGAUAUGGUGCACUGUUCCCUUAGAAAUUAAUUUUGUAGUGGCUUACAUUCAAAAAGAAAAAAACUGUAGUUAAAUAUUUGAUUUUGUAGUUUUGGAUACUAAAUUUAUUAGUAGUGGGCUGCGUGUGUGUGAUGAUCACAUAAAACAAGAUGGGUGGAUUUUCAAGAAUAAAGCAACAUGAUCUUGUAGAAUUUGAUUUUAUCGUUUUAGCAACUUACUAUACCAGCAACAAGAUGGAUUCCAUAAAAGGGUGAACAGUUGUAUCGAAAAAGCUGAAGUGGAGUUUAUGUGAUUGUGAUGCUUAGAAAAUGCAAAAAGCAACGAUUUUCAACUGUAGAAAGUACAUAAUCUUUUCAGCUUGAAAGGAACUAGCAAUCCAUCAGCAAAGUAAAUGUUGCAAGUUAUCUGGUACUCGCCUCUAACUCUAAAAGUCAAUUGUCCAAAAUAGUUGGUUUCACAGCAAAAUCUGUCAAAUCUGUAAUGAAGCCAAUGAAACAAGUGAAUUUGAUGCUAUUUAUUUCUGUCAUUUUUCCUUUUUUUUUUUAAAUUUCUUCCAAAGAAUUACAAUAAUUAGAAAUGCAAUAUUACCCUUUCUGCUUCUUCAAGGUUUUGAACAUCAUCUUCAACACAGCUGGAAGAAUGUGAGGGGAGAAGCCAACUUUUAGUGGAUAAAAGCACCUGCAACAUCUUUGAACCCUUUCCACUAAAUGAAUCACGAAUAUAACCUGCUCUGCUAAAUUUAGAUUCCAGAGCAGCUCUGGAGACGGGAACAACUAACAGAUCAUGAGCCAUAUUUGAGAGAAUGGGGAACCUAUGAUUAUUGCCCUUCCACCAACCCAAAACAUCAAAAUAAUCCCAAUCUUGUUCAGUAGGUUCAUCCAGAUACCUCUCCAAAUCUGAUUUUCCAUCAGCAAAAGCAGCAAGAGCUUCCUCCCUUCUCUUUUGAAUCAGAUACUUCUUAAAGUCACUGGGAAAAGAUCUUGCACCUGAUUCAGGUUCUUUCUCGCUAGAAGAUGACUUUUCAGGUACAUAUAAUCUUUUAUAUUCAUCAAACAAGGUAAAAGCAGCCUCUCUCGCAAUUUCUCCCAUUUCUGGAGUCAAAUGUAAUUCUGAAGGUAAAGAUUCAAGAAUUUCCAGCUUGUAUCGAGGAUCAAGGAUAAGGGCAAGGUAGAUUACCAAAUUCAUCUCUUUAUAUUUUCCCCAAUAGUCUGUAUAUUUUCCCCUCAAUCUCCUAGCCAUCGAACUGAUGCCCAUUUCAGUACUGUCUUGCCAUUCACUCAAGAGAUGAUGAACCUCAAACAACCGAGCAAAGAUUGUGUUUGUUGUGACAUGUCUAGAGCAUGAAAGAUGCAAUGUUAGCCCAUACAAGUGCCUCAAUAUCUCGAUAAACCACUUGACCUUUUGCCAAUCAUCUCUGUUAGGCAUACCAGCACCCAUAGUUUCACUUUUACAAUAAGGAUCUGAUUCCUUUUGGUUAAAUUACAACAUGCCAUGUGUGAAGCCAAAAUCCAUCUUUUAAUUCUGCUUCUUAGAUAAUGUGCCGUAUGCAUACUGCUUCAUUACAUUAAUUAAUAAUAUCUUUGAACGGCAUAAUGUGGUAGAUUAUGAAUUUUAACUUUCUUUUAUAUUAAAAAUGUAUAACUUAAAUGCAAAACAAAUAAGAACACAAAAUAAAUGAUUAUCCAAGAAAUGAAUGAAUUUGUGUGAACAAAUUACACCAAAAAAAAAAGUAUUUGUGUGAUCUAAGAUACAAAUAGUUAAUUUCCAACUAUGCAUAUAGAUUUUUAAGUAGUUAUCAGCUCAAUAGUUAAACAACUCAAGUAUAUUGAUAAAUUCCAGUUCUUAGUUUAUGGCACACACAAACAUUAAUGCCAGAUUGCCACACCACUUUUAUUUAUACACCAAGGCUUUCCUAAUAAACUAAAGUUAAAUUCGAUUUGUCAAAGGAAACAAAAUAGAGUUGGUCACGGACAAUCAACUCGAUCCGGACUCCGACACAACUAUUAACCGCCCAAACAUUUAGAAACAAUUAAUUUAGCAACUAACAAAUAAUAAAAUUCUCACUUAAAAAAAUAAAAAGGCUUUUCUAACGGAUGCCACGUGAGCACUCGUUAGCAAAUCUAUAUACUAAUUAACCUAUCAUGUAUAUACAUACACUAACAAUUAUUACUUUUUCUUACAUUUAUACACUUUCCUUAAUUAAUCCAUGCAUUUUUAUGUUUUCCGUAAUUAGUUUUAUAUUUCUAAAAUUCAACACCUGAAAUACAUCUUAACGGAUGUCCAGGCAGGCCGAAAAUAAAAUACUUGAUUUAGCUCCUGCAUUGCCUUCAUUCUGGAAACAGUUGAUCCUCUAUAAUGUCAAGAAGAUGAGAAAACUGAAAAUUUUUGUUAAUUAAAGGACUGUUGGUUGACUUUUACUUCUAUUGCUAUAUAAAAGAUGAGUAAAUUUAUGUUGACCACUGAGCAAGUAUUUAGUCAAUGAACCUCUUCAUAGAUAUUUGGGAGGCAAGGAUACCUUAUUACCACCUUCUCCUAUUGGGCUUAAUCAAUUAGUGCACAUUAUUGCUGGUUCUUGAAAAGUGCAAUAAGCCCCAAACUUUUUUUCCCCUUCUCCAAAAUUUAAAAAAAAAAUUAGGCUUGAACCAUUUAUAUUUGUUCAGUGCAAUCUUAAUUUCAGCAUGUUUUUCAAUGAAUGCAUUGUGGGAUUAGUUUUUCAUUCAAUUAAUAGUUCAAGGGAAAAAAAAGCAAGAAUCAUUUUUGUUUUGUUCUUUACCUAUAACACUAUUAGUGUUUAAAGUGAAAAUUGUUUGAAGAAAUUUUGUAGAAUAACAUUAUAUCACUUUUUAUGAUGUUACAUUUGCGAGGAAAAAAAGAUGAUUAAAAAGAUAAAGAGGUAAUUCAAGAGGGUUAUAAUGUAACUAAAUAAUUGUUUCAAUAGUGAGGUAUCUCCUUUAUCCUUUGAGAAAUAUCCACUUCGAGUUUAAUCUGAGUAGGACAUUUCUAGCCAUAAAUCGACUUUGAUUUCGAUAAAUAGAUCACUUUUUAAGAUACCUUUAUGUUAAAUUUUUAUUGCAGAAAUCAUCUGCAAACACUGGCAAGGGAAAAAUAUCUAAAUAUCAAGGGCAAACAAAUAAGUUCAUUAAUUUAGUGCAGUUUAUAUUUUUGAUGAAAUUUGCAAAUCAUGAGUGCUAAAUUAUGAGUGCUCUAUUUCUGUUUUAGGCUUCUAAACUUUCAUUUUUAAGUGAUAUAUUUAUGUUCGUAUCCAUUCAAAAUAUUUGAAAGUAUUUAUUAUGGAAAAAAUGAUUCAAAAAAUUAGGGAAAAAGAAUGCUAAGAGAAAGGCUAAGGCCGCAAACACUUCUCAAAUUUAAACAUACAAGCAUACAUGCAUACAUAACCACAAACACACAUAAAUUCGUAUAUAUAUUGUACUCAUGCUCCGAAGUGUCUUAUGGCUAGCAACGCAUGAAUUUUGUCAUUCUAGACUAAGAGAAUGGGCAUUAAUUGCAAGUUUCUUGUUAAUGCUGGUUAGCAUAUUAAAUUCUUAAGCCUAGCAACAUAUACAUUUUGCCAUAUUGUGUUACCUAGUAAGUUUGGUUAAGACUGAAUCCAUGCUUGAUAAUUCAAUUUAGCACUUAAAGUUAACGGAUUCAAAUCUUAAUAUGUUCAAAUGCAUUUGAUAACCAAAAAUUGAACAUGUGAAUUGAUUAAGUGGCACUGAAUUUUUUAGACAAAAUUUGUUCCAAAAAAUAAGCGAUAUGCUAUUCAUUUAUUAUUGAAUAUGAUAUACAGUCAAAUAUAUUUGAUUUAAUACUUAACAAUUCAAUAAUUUAAUAGAUUCAUGAUUCAGAUUCAUUUUCAGUUUUAGAUUUCAAUUUUAACAAACGCACCCUAAGUUUAAAAGAUUUGAAGUAUUAAUUUGCAGUUGUUUGCUAAACAGCCUGAUGUUAGUACACAAGAUGUUGGAUCCUUUUUUCAUAAUAAGUAUCCAUAAUGAAUUAACAUUUCUCGCACAUUAUUUUAGUCAUUAACUGUUGACUAAAGGCAAAGAGGUUGCAAGCUUCUUCAUACAUGCUUAUCAUUGCUACCUCUACAUCUAUUUCUUGCCAAGUUCAUUGGCCUUAUUGAAUAGCCCUUUUUUUUUAUCCAAGUUCAUUACCCAAAAAAAAAAAGAAAAAAAUGGGGACUGGAGCAGCCCUUUUGCCUUUGACAAUUGAACUAGCAAUGCUUAAAUGUGAUCCUAAGUUGAUAUUGCAGCUUUGCUGUCUCUCUAGUUCCUUGACAAUUGAACUAGCAAUCAUUCAAUUUAGCCCACCAUCAAUUUAUUUUAUUGACCCUUUUGUGUCGGUAAAAUUGCUCAAAUGGUUCCUAAAAUGUUACAUAUUAGCAAUCACAAAAUGAGGUUAAGACAGUAACAUUCAACAUUCUUUGAUGGUAGUUAGAAUUUGACAAUUGAAAUGCAUUGUUGGAGAAACAUGAAUCUGCAAGAUACACAAAAUUGUGAUGAUGAAGACCAUGAACUAAUUCAGAUAAGCUAAUUACUUCGGAACCUAACACUUCUUUUCUUGCUUCUAAACUAACUAACCAACCCAUCACAAUUCAUUAAAAUUGGUUUUUAAUCUGCAGUGAAUCUUAAUUACUAGCUAAACAAAGCAAAGAAUUACAUCAAACGGGCAUAAAACUAAGUUUGCUACUGUAACACUAUCUACUACAAAUUAAACUACUACUAAAUCAGACCUCCUGAUGAUCAGAUCAUGACACAUUUAUACUCGCGAAUUUAUUAUGAUUCAGAAGAAACUACGCUAAAUUUAAGUCAUUAAUGAAUUGUUGUUGUUUUUUUUUUUUUUUUGAGCAAAUAAUGAGUAGCAGGAAGUAUCAUUAAGCACCUUACGAGUAAGGAGCCAUUAAACUAUGAGCAAUGAGCUCAGUUUGCAUUACAUCCAAGACUCGUGCACUUUCCUGCCUGAUUAAAAUCAUAUCAAAAUAGGCGCAACCAAAACAUGGGUGCAGACGAGAAGACAAAAGAAAAGGAGAUAAAAGAAACUUUACACAAUGGAACACUCGUCUUCAUUCCUCAGCUGCAUUGCUAACCUUAAUCUCCAGAAGCCGUUCAACUGGCUGCCUGCAAAUUGGGCACCUAUUUGUUUGGAACCUCAAAACUUUGGCACAUCCGUUGCACAUACACAUGUGUCGACAUGGAAGGACAGUAGUGUCUCGGGGUUCUGAAAGACAUAUUACACAUUCUUUUCCUGGAUCAUUUCCAUCGAAGUCACUGUCAACUGAAUUGCCUAUCCCAAAUAUUUCUUGCAAUUCAUAGCUCAUGCCAUUGACCCAUAAGAUUUGCUUCACCACCCUGACCUGAUAUUCACCUUUCUCUUUCUCAAACACCGCCUGGGUAAUCUGAGAGUUUGUCGAUCCAGGUUCUGGCUCUGUGUUUCCAUCCGCUGAUGUACUCUGAUUAUCUGCAAAUGCCUCUGCCUUCACAGCUAGGGGAUAAACAUCCAUCUCCCCCUCCUUCAACAAAUCUGCUUCCUCAAACAUUGAGAGGUCUAGGCCAGUUCCAGAGGGCUGUCUAAACUUCUGUGCGAAGCCCUUUUCGAAAGACACCGUUACUGGUGGAAGUAAUCUAUCCUUCAUUGGAGUAAGAGUACAGUCUUCACCUUCUUUUGCAAAGAAAAUUAUGGUGAUGCUCCCAGCAACCGUAGCAUCAAACGUGAAAGCAACAAGAUACUUGCCAGGAUUGGCCUCGUCGGGCUCAAUCCGCAAAGUUUCCUUCUUCAGAUUAACAUCGUUCCGAAUGGUGACCGCCUUCUGAUUCUCCACAAAGGGUGUGGGUGGUUGCAUCAUUGGCCCGCAAGGGUAACGGCCACUGACCCAAUUGGCAUGGGGCGGGUCCAUGCGGUGGUGGUGAUCGUAUGGAGCCGGUAAAGGCACCGGCACAGCCGGUGGCGGUGCCGGAUAGUAGCCAGUGUACUGGUAAUAGGGAGGCGGAGCAUUAGGGUUUGGGUAUCGGGGAGUAAUCUCAGGUUGAGGUGGCUGGGGGGGCGGCGGCGGUGGGUGGGUCCGCCGGCUGCCGCUUCUUCGCCGGUUGUUUACGCCUGUACUUCCAAUAUUACCCAUACUAUUUUCAAACUAAUUGAAAAGAAAUGAUUUCUGUAUAAAUGAAAAAGAAAAGAUUUCUGUGCGAAUGAAAACUAAUAUACAAUUAGGCCGCAGGCAUCAUGAAAAUCGAAUCCUUGACAUGAUCAUAGAGAAGAUUUUUGAUACCGAAAUUUCUUCCCAAAAAAAAAAUUUUGGCUUAAGCGGAAGGAUUCUGCAGGUCAAAAAAUGGGGAAACGAAAGCUUCUGGGUUUUGCAGGGGGUUGAGGUGAAUUGGGGGCUGGAUGGGCAAGAAAGAAGUGUAUCAGUAUUGAAGGUAUGUGAUAAGAACAACUGUUGAAUGCAUAUAAUACGCGGAGGGAGGAAAAGGCGGUGGGAAAAGAAGGAAAUAGGAAGAGAGGAGAAGGGGGAGCAAGGAAUAUUAUGAAUUGAGAGAGAAUUAUGAUGCAGGGAUGGACGGACGGACGUGGGCAAAUUCGGGGGUGGGGGCUGUUACUUUGCCUUGUUGGGUUGGGAGAGGAUCAGGAUAAUGGGAUUGCGUAAAGGUCCACCAGCGCCACAACGACGCCAUCAAUGAGUUCUGGCGGAAAAAAAAAAUGCCAACUUUUCUAUUUUCCUUCACCUUCUUAAUGAAUUGUUGUUAAAAUCAUGUUAUUGAAGAUAAUUUCCAUGUCAAUACAUAACUGAUAAAUUGAAUACAUUAGUGUUGUAUAUGAGUCAAUUGAAGAAGAACAGUAAAGGUCAAGAAUCAGGGGUAGAUACAGAAGAUUACAACCCAAGUAAUAACUCUGCCCUACAAAAGAAAACUUCACAAGAAAAAAUAAAAAAACAACUUCGACCAAAUUCAAUCAGACAAUGUUGAUAUUAUAGAAACAAAGAACUUUCCAACAUCAGAUUCAAAGAAACAAGUCAAGAAGGGUGGACUAAACGUACCUUCCAUUUAGGAGAAACAUAAUUUCCAGCAAUAUUGUUUCUAGGCUAUCCCAAGAACUAGAAAUAUGAAACCCAACUUGACCAAAAUUCAGAAAGUACAAUACAACCCAAUUAUUUCAACUUUGCCUACUGAUUAGACAUGAUCUACAAUGAACUACUGCCUAUUGAUCAAAGUAUAUAUGAUUCCUGAAAGAAUCUUACGAACUUUACACUUUCGAAUGGUUCCAUAGAUGACUAACUAAUAUCUUUGCUGCAUCUCUGACUCAGUUCAUUGCCAAAAUGGCUCUUUCAAUCUUCAGAAAAGCAAAAAAAAAAAAAGAAAAGAAUCUUCUAUCAACGUGUUUUUCAACUACCAUAUCAACAAAAAGGUUGAGACUUAAAUCUCCUAGUGUGCUCUCCAUUUCAGGUCCUUGCAUCUUUAUUGCAGUCACCGGAAGAAUCAGUGCUGCUCUGUCUGAUUUGAUUUACUUGAUCUAUUAUUUUCUUUUUCAUCUAUUCCAUCUGAGCCAUAAUUUCUUGAAGUUCAUGGAGCUCCAAAUCUUCAACUGGGGGCACAUCCCUUAUCAAGCUGGGCAUCAUAAUUGAGUUUGCAAUUGAAUCCCCUAUUUUUUCACCACAUUCCCAUUUGUCUUGUACUUCUGGAUUAGUAGCAUUCUUUUGGCUUCCCCUUGCAGGCAAACAAAUAGCCAAGCCCUUUGCAGAUUCAGAUUUCUGCUUGAUCAUCAUGCCAGGGCUCUUAUCUUCUUUUUCUGCACUAGUCUUCAGUGGCAAUGGUAAUGACAAUUAUGACACCCCGGAUUUUUUAUGUAAGAAGAAAAUAGUGUGAUGACUUGAAAAUUUGCUCAUAUUUUCUUAUAAUUCCAUCUUAUUUUGAAUAAACUAUUUUACAAUUCCUUUACCACUACUUUACUUCCUCAUUAGUUGUAAUAUACAAGAAAAUCAAGAGUUUUACCUUUAGUUUUAUAGUUAACGUAAAUUAGGGUUUUCGUGUAUUUUGGUCGUGUAAUCACUUGGUGAGGUGUGUGUACUGAAUUUGGUGGUUAAGAGUGGGUUUUAGAUAAGAAAAAGUGUGUGGUUAGAAUGCUAUUAAUAAGUUAGUAAAUCAUAAGUUAAAACACUAGUACGCGCGAGUUAAGGAAAAUAGCCUUGAAUCGACGUGCACCGUUUGCUACCAAUUGAGUGCACCACUUGAACACUAUUUUAUUAGCUUAAUCUCCUUGUUAUUAAUUGAGCAAAAUCAGUCCCAAAAUAUCCCUCAAGGCAGCCGAAAUUCUUGACUAAAAGAGUGGGAGAGAGGGAGAAAAGAAAGAAAAAUAAGAAUUAUUCUUGUGGUGACACUUGUUGGAAGCCUAGGAAACUUUGACCAACCAAUUUCCUUCCUUCUUAUCCUUCAUUUUUUGUUCAUCUUCUUCAUUUCUUAACCUUGGUGGCCGAAACUAGGAGAGGGGAAAAGAGAGAAAACCAACUUCAUUUCCAACCUUGAAUCAAUCCUUGUUUGAGUGAAAUCAACAAAACCAAACCGAUUAAACUUACCCCUUGGUGCUGGGAAAGCUUGGUGUGGUGAAAUUUCUGGAAGAUAGUGGUUUGUUUUUCACUUGCAAGAAGCUUUUGGAAGGUAUAAGGCUUAAACUUUUUUUUUCUUGCUUAAUCUUGCUAAGUUUGGUUUAGAAGCUUUUAAUCUUGGCUUGCUACGGUUGAGUUUCUAGUUUUUGAUGGUGUAGUAGAAUUUUCAGCUAGGGUUUGCAUUUUUCAGUUUUGAUUAGUGUUGUUUAACUAGUAAAUGAUGUUAUUGAGUUUGGAAAUGGAACUUGUGAAGUGAUUAUGGGCUUGAGUGGGACUUUGUAAAGUUAGAAGUUGAAUUUUCAGCAUGUGGUAGUGAAAUUUCAGUUCUGCCCCGUUUUUGGUAUUAAAUUGGGCUGCACAUUUCUCCAUAUUUUAGACUGAAUCAACUUUUGGACAAAACAUAAAAGUUGUAGGAAUUUCAGUUAACUUCGUACCUGCAAAUUUCAUAUCAAUCGGAUCAUUUUAGCUUAGGAUUUGGCCAGAGCACUCCUGACUGCGCAAAAAACUCUAAUUUUCCUAACCUGUUUUUCAUGUGCUUCUGACCGUCCCUUUUUGACCCUGAAAAUGCGAGAACUGGGUGUUAAUGUCUCAUAAGAAAUGUAGGUUUAUGUCUUAGCUUCGAAACGUCAUAAAAUUUACCUUGAUCCGAUAUAGUUAGCUGCAGUUAUGACCAAAACACCGAAAGAUGACAAAUAUGCCACUUAUAAUUUCUUCUUUAAAACUAGUUUCCAUCUUUGAUCUUGAUGGUUUCAUUGCUAGAUUUCACUUGUAUUUGGAUGAUAUUGAGCCUAGUUGAAGAGCUAUUUUGUUAAGCUUGUUAAUGUGUUGAAUUUGGGCUGAAUUGAGGAAAAACAAUGAAGUCAUAAGUGGCUGGAAAAUAACUAAAUACAAAGGGCAUGCUGCCCAAAUUUUCACUCGAGGGUUAGGCGUAUGUACUCGCGACUUGAAUGAAGAUUUGAGGUCGAAUUGGACUUGAUUUGUCUAGGGUAUUCGAGUUUUUUUUUGAUAGAGGUAUAUAAGCUGAGAUUUCGCCGGAACUCGUACCCUUAAAAAAGUGAAUGUAGUGACCCUAUAAAAAUACGAUUUUCUCGAUUUUUUAUACCAAGUGUGAUUUCAAAAGUAUAAACCACUUCCUUAUUAAAACUAAAUGAUCGAGCAUGAAGUUUCUAGAGUUUGAUAAGUAACUUGAAUACUAUUUAAACGAGUUUCAUUUACUUGAUCUUCUUGAAGCGAAACUCCUAUGUUUUGAACCCUAGUUGAUUUUAAACUCUUGAAUAAUAUUUUAUCGUAGGUUUGGACUCCAUCCAAGGAGUUGCACCUGAGCGUGACCUUGAAAAACACUAGACCUUUGGUAAGUGCUUCCAAGUGCAUGUUUGUAUUUGAUACUUGCUUUUACAUGUUUUAUUAAUAUGCUUGGAUAAUAUUUGACUUAUUUGGACGGACAAGGGUGUAUUUUAUCGCAGUUGUCCUAAACGUGACUUGUUGCUAUGCCUUGAUGGCACUUGACUUGAUAUUCUUGUCUGAUGUACUUGUCUAUGCGUGAGUACUCUCUGGAAUUUCAAAAACUCUGAAGUUAGUUAAUCGAGUCAAGUCGGCCAAGGGACUGGUCGAUUCGAUAACGAACCCUGAGUUUCUUGUUUUAUCGAGUGGAGUGAUACCUCAUCGACUAAUCGGUAUACUCGAGUUUUACCACACGUGUUUAUUUUGGUGUUCGGACCCGGUAAGGAUGUUGAAUGGUGGACGGAUUGGUGUUAAGCGGAACACUACGGAACUGGUUACUUUACUUGAAAGUUGACGGAGUAUCAACUACGACUUGAUCAAGCUCUGGUGAAGCAACGGGAAUUUGGCUCUUGAGAGUCAUCCGUAUCCUUAUACUUUGAAAUUAUUAUUACUUGUUAUGUUAUUGUUUCUUUUAAAAACUUUACACUCGCUCAUUUUGAGAUUUGCUAUUUGAAGUGUUAUUGCUCACUUUUAUGAACUUGUUAUGUUCGGUACUUUGCUACUUUGAUACUUGCACUUUUAAAAACAUGGUCAAUUUGCUAUUUGGAACCUCACUGAGCUUUAGUUUAUCCUAUUUCGUUAAAUUUAUUUUCCUUACAGGGGGUACGAGUGAGGGCGUGAGACUGGUACACGCUAGCAUAGUCUAGUUUUUGAAUUUUUGCGAUUGUACUCGCACUAGUGCUCGUUUAGGAUUGAAUGUUUCUAGAACUCAAAUUUUUUGUUAUAUUUGGGAUUGUAUGAAUAUUUGAGAUAGAAAUGAAUGUACAUGUAUGUUCCAAGGAUGGGAGCUGUUAUUUUAUUUACGCCUGAGGUUGUAAACUAUUUUAUUUGAAAUGAGUUAGUGAGUCUUAGCGAGAGUUGGGCAGGCGGUCCGCUAAACUCUGGGGUACGCCUUAGGGGGAGGUGAGGUCAUCACAACAAUGUCAAUGAUAAAUCCAACUGAUCAGACAUUGUGUUCUUCUGAUCAUCUUCAUCGUCAUCAUCAUCGAGACUAUUUUCUAAUUCAAUUUCAUCGUCAUCUUCAAGCAGAUCAUAUAGUGCUUGUCGAUCUUCAGUUUUUUUUUAAGAUGAUGAUUUGGCUUUCUUGACUUCCAUCUCAUGAUCAGACAUUUCCUGAUCAACAUUAGCAUCAUCAAGGCUUUCUUCUAUGUCACUUAUAUCAUCAUUUUCAACCAGAUCAUGUACUUCUUCUUGAUCUCCAUUUCUUGAUUCAGAUGACAAUUUGACUUUGUUGACCUCCAUCACAUGAUCUGACAUUUCCUGAUCAUCAUCAUCAUCAUCAUCAUGAGGGCUUUUCUCUGUUUCAUCAAGAUAAUCUUCAGGCAGAUUUUGCAUUUCUUGCUGAACAUCAUUGUCUCUUUUUGCAGUUGAUGAUUCAACUUUCUUGGUUUCUUUGUAGUGCUGGACAAUGGAAUCGACAGAAGGAUUACCAAAGGCAAAGAUAUUGUGAGGACUCGAAUUUUACUUAAUUUUAUUUUAUUUUAUUGGCUUAUUUAAUUAUUUAUUCAGCCGUUUUCUAUGAAUAAUUUAUUUCAACCAUUUUAAAUCCAUUUACAUGGAACAAUGCCUUAAUUAUAUUUUUAAAACGUUCCGUUAGCAAAUUUAAUUUUUCUGUGACCCGUUUAGUAAGGAAUAUCGAAUACACAUUUUUCGAGAUAAUAUUCGAUCUGAGAGUGCAAUAAUCUUAGAGAAUUAAGAAUGAUCAAUAGUAGAUUAAGAAAAGUUAAUUGAGGGAUUAGAUGUGAGUGAGUUCAAAUUAAGCUUUUACCGCGCACGCGUCAAUAGUUUCCCGAAAGUCGCGCCAGUACGACUAAUUGGAGAUUUGAGGAUUUGCUACUAGACUCAUAAGAGUGAGUAAUUACAAUGUUAGAUAAAUUACCUUGAAAGAUUAGUGUAUGAGUGUAUCAAACAAGAGAGAAAGUGAUAGUACGAAACCCUAUUGAGGCACUAUUGAGGGUUGAUUUUUGCACCAACUUAAAGUAGCUUUUUUCAUUCUUUCUCUCCAAGUUUCCAAACCAUAACCACUCCCUCAUCUCUCUCUCUCUCUCUCGGUCGGCCCUAAGGAGGAAGAAGGAAAAAAACUCCAUUCUUCUUGCUUCCAUUUCACUUGCAAAUCAUCAUCCAACUUCAUAGAUUCUUGGGAUUUCAUUCCAUCUUGGAGAAAGAAGCAAUCUUGUGGAGUUUCUUAGAGAAAAAUCUGGUUUUUACCUAGGUUUAAAGGGUAAUCACUCUAUCUCUUUAACCUUUCAAAUUAUAAGAAGAUUAGUGGUUAGUUUCAUGGGUUUGAAACCCUAAUUGCGUUUAUAGGCUAGCGGACUUGAGGAACUUUAUUUCUCACUUUAAAUUGUAGGCUAGUGGUCUUGUCUUGACGAGGAUUGUAGGUAGCUAACUUGAGGCGUUAAUGUUUGAUUGUGGUUGUUUAUGUGAUAUAUAGCUUGAUUUUGGUUAGAAACUGGAGAGAAAGUUGGAAAAGUUGGGAGAGCCAAGCUGGCUGAAAUUCUGUCCGUAUUGUUCUAUUUUCAAUUCAAAAUUUUGAUACUUGGUUGGCUGUUAAAUUGAUGGAUAUAUGUUGUAUUAUGUGUAUAGAAAGUGCCUUUCAAAAAUCAUGUCGAAUGGUCGCACAAAACUUGAGUUUUGGUAAAAUUUGAAUAUGAAAAUUCACUAGCAAGGUAACCGGACAGUGGUUUAUUGUUUGAACAUAACUCUUUGAGCAAAAGUCAAAAUUGAGUGCCGUUAGCGACAUUCAAAACUAGACAUUCAUAGCUUUCAAAUGGUAUAAGAAUCCCCUAUUAGUUCGUUUUGAGCAAACCGUGGCGACUCGGAAAAGUGAACUGUCCUGCUUUGCCAGUCUGUCCGAGAGAAACUGGGAAAUUGCAUCUUGUGGCCCGAUUUUGUUCCACUUCUGAAAAGAUUUUCAAAAUGAUACCUUCUAAUGAUUUGUAGCAUAUUGAACCUAGUUUCCAACGCCAUAAAUCAUUAUCAAUUUGGAUUUGCAUAGAUUUAGAUAUGAUUUGAUUUCGAAAUUGCAACAAAGCUCAAAACUGGAAAAUUUUCCUUUCCCUGCUGACCGAAUGGUCAAGUCUAUUUUGGGAUGUUAUACUUCGAAAAUUUUAGUGUCAUUUACCCAUAAGUUACUCAUUAGAUGUUUCUGGAAUCUUGGUUUCAAAAAUGGAACGAAUUGGGGCUGAUUUCGUUGGACAAAACUUCUGAAAGAGAAAGAGAAAUGGGGUUGGCAGAUUAGCCUUGAAAAAUUUCACAAAGUUUAGUCGUUUCAUCAACUGCCUUCCCGUGUAAGUUUUUACCUUAAUUUUGAUAGAGAAAUAUUUCAUAUAUGGAAGUUUAAGUGUACCAAAUUUGGUGUAAUUCCAAUACCAGUUCGAUAACCAAAUAAUGCCCCAAAGAUUGCUCUUCAAAACUGGAAAUCCUCUAAUCAGGUUGCGAAAAUCAACCAAAUUUAAACUGUUAUAUCUUGUUGCUCAAAACUCCGAAUUUAGUUCUGCUUAUUUUGUUUGAAACUUGGUUUGGAACUCUUAUUGUGGUAUAAAUUUCAGAGGCUGAUUUACUUUUUGUAAAUUUUGCUGAAUUUCCAAACAUUGCUGAAAAACCAAGACUGGUUUGUCCUGUCUUCUUGAAACUGCAACUUUGAGCAGAAAUUUGAAUGCUUUCUAGUUGGAACCUUCAAAAAAUGUCUUCUGGAAAGUUUUAGUACUUUUAAUCUAGUUUCCAACGGUAUAAAGUUUUUCAUUUUUGGAAGUACCAAACUCAAGAUACGAUUUUCCAAGUUUUGUCGCAUAAAGAAGAAAAUUUCCGAUUUCGUAGGAAAUUAGUUUUUAAGAACUUUUCACUUCCUUUCGAUAUUGAUAGUCCAUUUUAAACCCAAUUUCAUGGAGGAUACAACUUGCCAUCAUGAAUUUAAAUCCUCACUUUUAAAUCUUGAUUUUCAAUAGAGUGAAACUCUUCUAAGACAUUGUCUUAAAUUUUAAGCGAGUGUACUUUCUUCUUUGAAUAUUAAGUGAUAUAGCGUAUAAGUGAGUAAUAGUUGGUCACUAUUUCUUCAGGUGCUCAAGAGAGGUUUGAAGGGAAUUCCGGAGCGGACCAUUAAAGACUUUACUUGUUCACUUACUUUUGAUUUAGUGAGUGUCAAGUGCAUGAACUGUUGCUAAAUGCUUAAAUUGUUCGUUAUUAAUUGAGUACUUUAGAAUUGUCGAGACAAGCGUAUACUUUAUCGUACUCAUUCUCUUUUAAGUGAAUUUAUAAUUGAAUUAUAUGAAGUGAAUAUAUAGUUGAAUUGUAUGAAGUGAAAAUUAUAUUUAUGUUUGGACUCAAUGUCGAUUGGAGUGAAUCUCAUCGACUUAUACUUAUAAUAGUGGGGGACGCCCAAACUCAUCGGCCAACCUUGCGACUCGAGUCGGCAUGAGCUUGGUCGGGAAACUUGAUGAACCAUGAGAAAAUCAUAAGGUUGAUCUAUUUGAGAGAUCUCGCUUGACAUACUCGAAUAGUAUCGCCUUAUAUAAAAGAAGUGCGGGCCCGGAUCAGGGGGUGUAACGGUGAACGGCAGUGUAAAAUAAGUGGAGUUCUACGGACGUAAUACUUACCCGGUUGACGGAGUGUCAUCACGUGGAGGUAUUGGAUCGAGUCUCGGCAAAGCAAGUAGAAUCUAACUCCUGAGAGAUCCUGUAUCCUUAUUGAGUGUGUUUAUUGUUAAAUUUUGAAUUACUUGAACUUUAUUGUUUUACUUUCCGUAUCAGUGUUAUUGUUACUUGUCCUAUGUGUUUGCAUGUUUUCUUGGCCUCACUGAGCGUUUGCUCAACUCAUUAGUUUGUUUUUCUUAACAGGAGGUCGGAUUGGAAAGAAUUUUGGGGAAAGUCGACUUGAUUACUUUUGAUUAAGAUCUUGGGAUGUAAUUGACUAGUUAGCUUAUAGUGGUUGUAUUUUGGGAAAGUUGAUGUGCUUCUGAGAACUUGUGAUGUAAGACUUGAAAGUUUGUUUAAAGAAGCGACCUUUCUUUACUUCGACUUUUAUUCUUUAGUUGUUUAUCUUUAAGUUUAGAUUUGACUUGCAUCAAGUCCUGGCGAGAGAUAGACAAACAUUCCGCGAACACCCUUGGGUUCGUCUUAGGAAGAAGUGGGGUGUCACAGAUAUUGCAAGCUUCAUUCUUGGUGAUCAUGGCUACCUCUGCAUCAUAUUUCUAGCCUAGUUCCAUAGCCAUCCUGAACAGCCCUUUUCUCCUCUUACAAAACAUAACUCGUCGCAUGGCCUUGUACUCAAUUUUCUUAAUUUCUAUUCUUCUUUUUCCUAUACUGAUGAUCAAAAAUCAGUAUUUCUUCUUUCUUGAUAGAUGUUAAUUCAACAAGUACUAAGCAUUAUGUUGUAUUUUCUUGAAACUUAGCCCAGAGGACUACCAGAAUUUCUUCAAGUUUCCUUCUAUGGUAAGAAUUGAAAGAGAGAGUGAAAAUCAGAUAAAGAAAUCAAUAGAAUGAUAAUCCAUCGUAUAUGCUUUUUUGCAGCUUCAGUCUGAACCGUCUAAAAAUAGGUCGGUGCUGCUAACCGAAUAACGGCUUUAACAACACAAAUCAACUCCCAGACUUCUUCUUUCUUAAAUGACGACUUUUUAGUUACUCAAACAAUUUUUUUUUGGGCUUUUCAUGUUUUAUAAAGUAAUUAUAUAUAUAUAUAUAUAUGUGUGUGUGUGUGUGUGCGUGUGUGUGUGUGUAUUGCAUGAGAUGUUUUAGUGGAGGCCUCUUGGAUGGCUUCCAAAUCUCCGAUACUUUUUUUCUGGAUUUUUCAUUUAUUUUAAUACAUAAAUUCAAUUAAAAAGUUUGAAAUAGUGAUUUACAACUAAUUUUAUGACAAUUCAAAUUUAAAAUUUAAAAACUUUUUCACUUAAAAUGAGGCCUUAAUAAAUCAUUUAUAAUUUGUUUUUAGACUUUAAUCCCUUUUUCCUUCCAUAAUUAAAGAAAAUAAAUUUGGAUAAUUUGAUUAGUCCCGUAGUAAUAUCAUUCACCCCAAUACAACUUUAUCACUUUAGCCCAUUUUAUUCUUUGAUUAAUAACAAUUGAUUUGUCAAAUCCAAGGAAUAAUAUGAUUAGUCUCAUUUUUUAAUUAUGUACAUAGUAAUAUUUUUAGCACUUUCCUUCUAGGUAUAUACAUAAAUUUGUCAAACAUUCAGGUGACAUAUCCAAUUAUAACAUUCUUUAACCAUUUAACUUAUUGCAACUAAAUCAAUUUUUUAGGCUUAAACUUAUCCUAUUGGGCGAUUAUUCCAACCAAUGAAAUAAACACUCUGACAUACAAUGUCAUCUGGAUAAUUUUUGACUUGCAUAAAACUCUAUCUGGAUAAUUUCUCAUAUACCAUGUAUAUCAAAAAGUCCACAUAAAAUAAAAUUUUUCUAUGAAUUUUAAAUUAAUAAAAGGGGCAUUGAGAUUGUUGUUUUUGGGAGCGUUUAUCAAAAAUUUUAAAACAAAUAUUUGUUUAAACAAUUAUCUUGGGUGGUCAUCACAAAAAAUAGCAGUAUUUCACCAAAAUUAUACCCAAUUACUUUUCCUUGACGACUAUAAUUCUAACUUUUUAUUUGCAAAAAAAAAAAUACUUGAAAAGUGAGUUAACGAAUCCCAAAUAAUAAAAGGAAUAGAAGAAUAGGAGUACAAGACUGGGAAGGGUAAAAGCAAGGUUAUGAAUCCUAAAUAGUAAAAGGAGUAUAGGGUUGGGGAGGUUGAAGUCAAGGGAAUUGUAGUUGUGGGUUGGGAUGAAACUAUCAAAAUGAGUGAUUUAUGUGGGUUAAAUAUAUAUAGUUUUACAUGAUUUUGGUUAUCUUAUCAAUUUACCAUCCGCUACAAAAUUUUAUUUAUUUUUUCUCCCAUAUUCUUUGAGCAACAAAAUAAGAUAUCAUUGUAAAACACAUAAUAAUAAAUAAAUAAAUUUUUACCUAAAAAAUACAUAGAAGAACCAAUAGCGGUGAGUUUCAAAUUUUGCACUCUACAAGAAUCUCAAAAUAAUUUAAGUGUGAAUGCAAGAAAUAAAUUAAUACUCAAUGAGCUAAUUAAAACUUUGAUGAAAGGAAGGUAGGAAGUAGGAUUAAAUGUAACAAAAAUUAAAGAAUAGGUAAAGAACAUUAAAUAUACCUUUGCGAAAAGUAGAAUAUAAUUAUUGUAUUGGUAGCGAUUUAAAUUUACUUACUAAUGAAUUUGAAUCUAAGUCUAAUUUAAUUAGCACUAAAUAAGCAAUCACAAUCUAUCCAUUUAAAAGCCAAUAAUUAAUAAGUUCAAUUGGGUUACCCAUUUGAAACUAAUAAAAUUGCAUAUCCAUACUCAUUUGUUGAAUAACAAGUUGCAAAAUUGGACACUAUUUAUAACUAUAAAUGGGUGGAAAGAGUAGUAGAAUAGUGUACACACCAAAAAUUUUGAUCUUUAUUUUUUAUUUUUAUUUUAAGUAAAAUCAUUUUUGUUUGGUUGGUUUUUGUAGGAAAAUGAAGAAAAUGAAACUGAAACUGAAAAUGUAGUUAAAAAAAAAAUUACUCACGCUCACUUCAUCUUUUGAAACAAAAAAACGAAUGCAAAGCUGGAGCAAAUUUUUGAAGUAGCAAAGUCAAAUUUUUCUUCCCUUUCUUUUCCUCCUAGCAUACUAGUACAAGGAGCCACCUCACCUCUUGCGGGAAUCAUCAAGAAACAUCUAGAAAAGGCCAUUAAAUAGCCCAAAAGAAGCCAGCAAAAAGGAAGAAAGACAUUUCUGGAGUAAGAGGGGAGGAAGUGAAACAAAAAACAGCAAAAAAAAAGGGGGGAGGAAAAGGGAAAGAAAAAUCGAGAAAGAAAAUAAAAAAUUUCUAGAAAAACUUUACAGAAAAGGUUGAUCAUUCGGCCUGCUUGAACCCGAUUUUCUCCUUCGAUACUGCUUCGUUGGAUGAGCUUUUGAUUUCUGCACAAUCUACGAACUUAGUAGAAAAAGUUUUGUUUAGAACUUUUCUGGAAAUAACGUCCAGAAACCCUUCGAAUUUAGCCCUAAAGUUGCUGCUUCGUCUUUGCGCAGUACAUGCUUGAAGCUGCAGCAAAUCUCCUUCCAUUCGCUUUUUUCUGGUUUCAAUCUUGUCCUAAAUCAUCCUCAGGUAUUUCCUCAACUUUUCUCUAUUAGAUUCGAUGUUCAUGCAAGAGAUUAUAGAGUGUUCAUGAAAGUUUAAGUACAUGGACUUUGAAUUUUAUUUUUACAUGAUUUAUGAUGUUUUGGAACCAUAUUUGAUGAUUUGCACGAGUUUAUGAGAUUGAAAGGAUCAUGUGUAUAUCAAAAUCUGACUUUAAAUGCCCUUGGAAAUUUUUUCCAGCGAGAUUCCAACCAUUUUGGCUGGAAUUUUCCAGAUUCUAGUAGAUCGACCCGCUAGAAACUUCAUACCCACCAGAAAGUUCAUACUGAUUUAUUUCCUAUUUAUGUUCCUUAUAUAUUGUUUUUGUUUGUUACGGUUUGAUUCUUCAAAUCCGUUUGGGCUGAUGUUAUUAAAUGCUUGUGAGCCAGAUUAGUUGGGCUUGUUUUUAUUUUGCUUGGGUUUGUGCAUGGGUUUUGAUUUUCAAACCCAACGAUUUAUUAAGGCAUAGUUUAGUAAAAUAAGUUGGGCUGAUCUGUUUUUUUAACAAAACAACUGCUUAUAUUUGUUGGGCCGAAGUAGGUUUAGCCUAAAACAAAUAAAAAAGAAAGAAAAGGCCCAGGUUCUAUUUUUGUUACGUGAUCAGAAAAUGAUUUUUCAAUUUAGCACCUGAUCUUCUGAAUAUUUUUAGUGUAGCCCUAAAAUUUGAUUUUUUUACUUAGGUCCUAAUUUAAUUGCAUUUUGAUCCCUAAACUUUAUUUUUUUUAUUUUGAUCCUAAUUUCUUUAAAAAUUAUAAUUUGACCCUAAAAACUUUUUAUUUUUUUGCAAUUGAGUCUCUAAUGGUUUUGUUUUCUUAAUUGCAAUUGUUUAUCUUCUUUAAAUUGUUAAUCAUGCUUCAUUUAAAUGCAUCUAAUUUAUAAAUUUUAGAGAUUUUAUACUUAUGCAUAUUUCUUUAAAAUAAUAAAGUGAAUUUGCUAUAUGUUUACAUUUUUCUUUUAAAUCGUUAAUUAAAUUGGUGCCUUGACCAUUUUGUUGAUUUUGGAGUAUAAAUAGGGAAAACUCUACUUCAUUUAGCCACUAUUUCAAGGGAGGUACCCUCUGUUAUUCUUUAAACUCCCUAUAUAUGCUCCUAUGUGUUUUUAUGUUUGUGAUUGCAUGCUUUAUGUGCUUUUUCUUUUACUUACUUAUUUUAUUCAUUUUAAGGUUUCAUUUAUUUUAUUUAACUUUGAUAUUUGUUUGGAAGGCAUUUAAAUGCCAAAUUGUAAUAGAUAGGUUAUAUUCUCUUGUGCAAGAAAUGUAAUUAAUUAGAUAAAUGUAAUAGAUAAGUUUAUUAUUAUCUUAUAUUCCCUUUUUUAGAUUGUAAUUAGAACUCUCAAUGUAAUAGUUAGGUUUAUUGCUUGCAUAUUUGUGUGUUUAUGUGCUUGCAUGUUUACUUGCUUUUUUCUAAGAUUUUGCAUCUAGAUAUCGUGCCUAUGUGCUCUAUAUGUUUUAUUUAUUUAUGAUGAAUGUAUGAUGUCACCACACUAGUUCAACGCUAGUU
RNAcentral lists this long non-coding RNA (26321 nucleotides) under Coffea arabica (coffee). RNAcentral describes it as "long non-coding RNA (CARA_LNC007096)". Lineage: Eukaryota; Viridiplantae; Streptophyta; Magnoliopsida; Gentianales; Rubiaceae. The record is from RNAcentral.